UACGUAGGGUGCGAGCGUUAAUCGGAAUUACUGGGCGUAAAGCGUGCGCAGGCGGUUCGUUGUGUCCGAUGUGAAAGCCCCGGGCUUAACCUGGGAAUGGCAUUGGAGACUGGCGAGCUUGAGUGCGGCAGAGGGGGGUGGAAUUCCGCGUGUAGCAGUGAAAUGCGUAGAGAUGCGGAGGAACACCGAUGGCGAAGGCAGCCCCCUGGGUCGACACUGACGCUCAGGCACGAAAGCGUGGGGAGCAAACAGG
Molecule: ribosomal RNA, 253 nt
Filed under: uncultured bacterium
Lineage: Bacteria
Description: partial 16S ribosomal RNA
Rfam family: Bacterial small subunit ribosomal RNA
Source: RNAcentral